This 220-nucleotide ribosomal RNA is filed under the name uncultured bacterium. Its description in RNAcentral is "partial 16S ribosomal RNA". It matches the Rfam family "Bacterial small subunit ribosomal RNA", at positions 555 to 771 of the family's 1533-position model. The record is from RNAcentral.
UGGGUUUAAAGGGAGCGUAGGCCGGAGAUUAAGCGUGUUGUGAAAUGUAGAACGCUCACGUCUGCACUGCAGCGCGAACUGGUUUCCUUGAGUAACGGCACAAAAGUGGGCGGAAUUCGUGGUGUAGCGGUGAAAUGCUUAGAUAUCACGAAGAACUCCGAUUGCGAAGGCAGCUCACUGGAGCGCAACUGACGCUGAAGCUCGAAAGUGCGGGUAUCGA